AUGGCUUCUGGGACAAUCAGCUGCCAGAAAUGUGUCACUUCAAGUGGUUUCCCAUAUUUCACGGAACAUCUUAUUUGGAUAAAACUUAAAUUAUUACCACACCAGUCUUUGCAGCCUUUCCCCCUUUCCGUUCCAAGAGCAGCCGUAAUCAAGCCUGACAAACUACUGAUUUCCACCAAAGCAAUUUCAACACCUAUGAAACAUCAGAACCAAAAGAAUGAGGAGGACUGAAGGUGUGGAGGACAUUCAGACAGAAGCCUCACGUUUUCAGACUCUCACUGACUCCUUCCUCCAGGCAGUCUUCCUAGGUUGGCUAGCAGCAACCUCAAUACCUGGCCCCGGAGGAUGGCAGAGAUGCAGCACUUUUGUUUGUUCCGUGCCCUCAGUCAAUGAGGAAGCUGUAUUCUGGACACUGGGGUAUGAUGACAAGUCCUCUGACUCAUGAAUCAGUCAGGGUGCAGGAGACAUAAGCAAGUAAACAGCAAUGGUCUGUGGCAAAAGUGAUGUGAAGGGAGAUGGAGGAGAGAAGAGGAAGUGGCAUAGAGGUUUCUCUGCCAGAGAGAUGAGGACAGAGAAGACCUUAAUGUUGGAUGUUGGUGCACAAAAGUAAUUGAGCUGAUCUUUAAAGGUGCUAGGGAUCUUUUUAAAAUAUAAAAUUAUUUAUUUUUAUUUGAGGGGCAGAGACAGAAAGAGGAAGAGAGAGAGAGAGAGACAUGUUCAAAUGCUCACAACAAACUAUAAACUCAAUCCAUGUCUCCCAGGUGGGUAGCAGGGACUCUAUUACUUGACUCACAACCUGCCACCUCCCGGGUUUUGCAUUGGCAGGGAUCUGGAUUUGGGAGCUGGAGCUUGGUAUUUAACCCAAGUAUUCCAAUAUAAAAUACAAGUCUCCCAACCAGAGGUCAGACCCCAGGAUGGUAGGGAUUUAAUAGGCAGAGCAAGGGCAGCAGAUGAGAGUAGAGAUGGGAACAUUUAUAAAUUAAAAAAAAAAAAAAGGCUGCUGGUACAUUCCAGGUGGAAGGGAAGCGGAAACUAAAGAAUGAAGAAUCUUUUGGGGUGGGGGAGAAUAAUCCAGUGUGGCUGGAAAUCCCCUACACAACAAGGGGGUGGGGUAACUACACUGCAAUGGAGAGGACAUCUAGAUUUGGUGACAGCCUGAAUUCAACAUUAGGUCCAACCUGUCCCUCUCUGCUGGCCUGUGGUAACGAUCUGUCUGCCUCCUGCCCUGUCACUAAACCACUGCUCUGAAAGCACUAACCUAACUUUGAGCUACAGGGUGAAAUAGACAACCAAAACACUUUGUACUCUCACUCACUGGGGGCGGGGGGGCGGGGGUUAACAUACUCUACUCCUGUAAUCUGGGCUGGCCCUGUGACUUGCAGAGGAGCAGAAGUGAUUGUAGAAGUCUUGAGCCAGGGCAUCAAGAACUUCACCUAUUUCCCUCUUGAAACCCUGUGACUUUCAUAUGAGCAGCCCAGAAAAACCUUCUGAAUGGAGAUCACAUGGACAACAGUCCCGGUCUGCUUAGCCACUGUAGCCAAAUCCACCCUAGACGAGCAUUCCUAGCCUGUCCAUGUGUUGACAAAACUGUAUCCCUGGGCUUAACCAACAUCAACUGAGCCAAGCUGAGCUGGAGAUUUGUCAGUGAUAACAAAUGGUUGUUGUUUUAAGCCCCCGAGUGUGGGGGUGAUUUGUUGGGUAAUAAAAGCUACCUGAUACAUAUGAUGAUGACUCA
Long non-coding RNA from Oryctolagus cuniculus (rabbit), 1735 nucleotides. The record is from Ensembl. NCBI's taxonomy places the organism in Eukaryota, Metazoa, Chordata, Mammalia, Lagomorpha, Leporidae.